This 688-nucleotide non-coding RNA is filed under the name Pan troglodytes (chimpanzee). The record is from RNAcentral. Lineage: Eukaryota; Metazoa; Chordata; Mammalia; Primates; Hominidae.
CAAAAUGGCCGGAGCCGAGCGGCAGAAAGAAAAGAUGUAAAACAUGAGUAUGUACAUCAAUGGUGGAACGAUGGUAGAAGGCACAGCGGGUCUGUCCGGUGUGACAGGUAGUCACGACUAUAAUGGACCUUUGGAAAAGACCAGAUCUGAGCUCAACUUCCUUCCAGUCAUUUUUUAUCUUUUUUUGAGACACAGUCUCACUCUGUCGCCCAGGCUGGAAUGCAGUGGCGCAAUCUCGGCUCACAGCAACCUGUGCCUCCCGGGAUCAAGUGAUUCUCGUGCCUCAGCCUCUGGAGUAGCUGGGACUACAGGCACACGCCACCACGCCUGGCUAAUUUUUAUAUUUUUAGUAGAGACAGGAUUUCCAUAUGUUGGCCAAGCUGGUCUCAAACUCCUGGCCUCAAGCCAUCUGCCUGCCUCGGCCUCCCAAAGUGCUUGGAUUACAGGCGUAAACCACUGCACCCUGCCAACUUCAUUCCAGUUCUAAUACCUGAUCCACUUUACAGAUGAAGAAACUGAGGAAUUAAAAGGUAAAACAAGCUGCCCAAGUCCUGAGAUAAAGCUGGAAAUCAAGUCCAGUUUGUCGUGACUCUAGAACAUGCACCCUUAACCCCUCCACCAUAGAAACUCAGGAACUAGAGAGUUCUGAAUGGAACUUUACACCAAUAAAAGCCAUUCUGUCCAAGAG